Molecule: transfer RNA, 70 nt
Filed under: Anolis punctatus (spotted anole)
Lineage: Eukaryota; Metazoa; Chordata; Lepidosauria; Squamata; Anolidae
Description: tRNA-Ile
Source: RNAcentral
GGAAAUGUGCCCGAUCAACAAGGAUAACUUUGAUAGAGUUAACUAUAGAGGCUAAGCCCUCUCAUUUCCU